GAGUGUAUAUACGACAUAUACUCAAGGAAAUGGUAAAGUACCAUUUGACCCGAAAUAAUGAAACCUUUAUAGCGAAUUGGUAGCUUAAGGUGACUACAAUCAAAGAGAAUGGUUGACUUUGAAGAAACCAUCUUUGACGUAGUCUUGUUUUCAAUUAAUUCAAAGAUUGCUAGCUACAAAUAAAUGGUGAUUCAAUGUUUGGACAUAAUAUAGGUUUCCGAAACCAUUAUUAAGAUAGUCUUGAUAAUAUAU
This 252-nucleotide long non-coding RNA is filed under the name Malus domestica (apple). Its description in RNAcentral is "long non-coding RNA (MDOM_LNC016765)". Lineage: Eukaryota; Viridiplantae; Streptophyta; Magnoliopsida; Rosales; Rosaceae. The record is from RNAcentral.